Molecule: unclassified non-coding RNA, 219 nt
Filed under: rhizosphere metagenome
Description: partial ribosomal RNA internal transcribed spacer region
Source: RNAcentral
UUCAGUAGAUUUCUACUGUGGGGAGAGCGGAAAGUACCUGUGCUGGCGUCAGCCGCCCAGUACGAGUAUGCUCUCUUUCAUAACCCUUGUCUUUUUGCGCACUCAUGUUUCCUCGGUGGGCCUGCCCACCGGCUGGACACUUCUAUAACCUUUUAAUUCUCAAUCAGCGUCUGAAUAAUUAUAAUAAUUACAACUUUCAACAACGGAUCUCUUGGUUCU